Molecule: ribosomal RNA, 207 nt
Filed under: uncultured Bacillota bacterium
Lineage: Bacteria; Bacillati; Bacillota
Description: uncultured Firmicutes bacterium partial 16S ribosomal RNA
Rfam family: Bacterial small subunit ribosomal RNA
Source: RNAcentral
CGCGCAGGCGGUUUUAUAAGUCUGGUGUGAAAGCCCACGGCUCAACCGUGGAGGGUCACUGGAAACUGUAAGACUUGAGUAUAGGAGAGGAAAGUGGAAUUCCAUGUGUAGCGGUGAAAUGCGUAGAUAUAUGGAGGAACACCAGUGGCGAAGGCGACUUUCUGGCCUAUAACUGACGCUGAGGCGCGAAAGCGUGGGGAGCAAACA